This 253-nucleotide ribosomal RNA is filed under the name uncultured bacterium. RNAcentral's name for it is "partial 16S ribosomal RNA". It matches the Rfam family "Bacterial small subunit ribosomal RNA", at positions 524 to 776 of the family's 1533-position model. The record is from RNAcentral.
UACGGAGGGUGCAAGCGUUAAUCGGAUUUACUGGGCGUAAAGAGCACGUAGGCUGAGUGGAAAGUUAGAUGUGAAAUCCCGGGGCUCAACUCCGGACCCGCAUCUAAAACUACCACUCUCGAGGAUAGACGGAGAAAAGGGAAUUCCACGUGUAGCGGUGAAAUGCGUAGAUAUGUGGAAGAACACCGGUGGCGAAGGCGCUUUUCUAGUUUAUUCCUGACGCUGAGGUGCGAAAGCAAGGGGAGCAAACAGG